CAAUGGGCAACACCCUUCUCCACCAGUGAACAAACAAACAGCUGCCUCCCCAGCACAGCACCGUCGUCCUGAGCACUCGGGGCACCAGGGGAGCCAGCACAGGUGACUAAUGUUUCACUGCUUUCCUGCAAUCACCCUGGGUCAGGUGCCCAAAUUAUGGAAUGAAGGCAGCAUCUCACACCUCACUGAGUGACACGGAAGAUGCUCCAGUGGCCAGGCAGAGGUCUGCCCAUCCUCGCUGGGUGGACAAAGCACCAGAGCUGGAGGAGGGACGUGGUUUGGUCUGCACCAGGCCAAAGACUCCCUCCUGAGGCCUAGAGGAUUCUUAGGUCCGCACGUGUUCAUGUUAGUAGACCGAGCACAGAUUCAGAGUCAGACAGAUGUCAGGCUGAAUCCUGACACUGUGCCACUUCUAGCUGUGUGCCUUCAGGCAAAUUAAUAAACUACUCUGACCUUCAA
Molecule: long non-coding RNA, 459 nt
Organism: Panthera uncia (snow leopard)
Lineage: Eukaryota; Metazoa; Chordata; Mammalia; Carnivora; Felidae
Exons: 2
Source: RefSeq, a predicted model, not a curated record